GAAUAUUAAACCUAGAGCAUAUAAUGGAUGCCUUGGUUCUGAGAGGCGAUGAAGGACGUAUUUUAACAACGAUAAGUUGCGUGUAUUUGUAAAAUAAAGUUAAUACGCAAAUUUCCGAAUUGGGUAACCAGUUAUAUUUAAGAUAUAACAUUAUUUUCUUUAAAAAGAAAAUAAAGCUAACCUGAUGAACUGAAACAUCUUAGUAGUCAGAGGAAAAUAAAACAAAAGUGAUUUCGUUAGUAGUGGCGAGCGAAAGCGAAACAGUCUAAACUAUAAAUAUAAUUUAUAUAUUUAUAGGGUUACAGGACUAUAAUAAAUAUUUUAUUAAAAAAUAUUAGAAAUAUUUGGAAAAAUAUACCAUAGAUGGUGAUAGUCCAGUAAAUUAAAUUUUUUAAUUAAAAUAAUAUAGUAUCCUAAGUAAAACGAGACACGAGAAAUCUUGUUUGAAUUUGCCAGGACCAUCUGGUAAGACUAAAUACUACUCAGAAACCGAUAGUGAACAAAGUACCGUGAGGGAAAGGUGAAAAGUAUUCCGAAUAGGAAGAUGAAAUAGAUCCUGAAAUUAUAUGCUUACAAUCAGUCGGAGCUUCUAUAUAUUUUUUAUAUAUAUGAAGUGACGUCUUGCCUUUUGCAUAAUGAACCUACGAGUUAAUUUUACUGGCAAGGUUAAGUAAAUUUAUUUAUGGAGCCAUAGUGAAAGCGAGUUUUAAAAGAACGUUUUAGUCAGUAUAAUUAGACGCGAAACCGAGUGAUCUAUCUAUGAGCAGGUUGAAGUUAUGAUAAAACAUAAUGGAGGACCGAACCGGUAGAUGUUGAAAAAUCUUCGGAUGACUUGUGGAUAGGAGUGAAAGGCUAAUCAAACUCGGAGAUAGCUCGUACUCCUCGAAAUGCAUUUAGGUGCAGCAUUAUUUAAUAAUAUUAUAUAGGUAGAGCUACUAAUUUGAUGAGAGGUUUUAAAAAACUAUUGAUUCUUAAUAAACUCCGAAUUAUAUAAUAUGUUUAAUAAUAGUGAGGUUAUGGGUGCUAAGAUCCAUAACCAAAAGGGAAACAACCCAGAUCAUCAGCUAAGGUCCCUAAAUAUAUACUAAGUUGAUUAAACGAAGUUUUUUUUCUUAAACAACUAGAAUGUCGGCUUGGAAGCAGCCAUCAUUUAAAGAGUGCGUAACAGCUCACUAGUCUAGAAAUUAAGCGCGGAUAAUAAGCGGGCAUAAGUAUAUUACCGAAGCUAUGAGAUUAUUUAUAAUUUAUAUUAUUUAUAAUCGGUAGGGGAGCAUUGUAAUUUUGUUGAAGUUAUAUUGUAAAAUAUAAUGGAAAAAUUACAAAAGAAAAUGUAGGUAUAAGUAACGAUAAUAUAGGUAAAAAACCUAUACACCGUAAAACUAAGGUUUCCUCAGCAAUGUUAAUCAACUGAGGGUUAGUCGGGUCCUAAGAUGAAGCCGAAAGGUGUAAUUGAUGGAUAAUCGGUUAAUAUUCCGAUACUUGUUUAUUAUAAUAUGAUGGGAGGACGAAGUGGUGAAACUAUUGCGUAAUAAUGGAUUGUUACGUUGAAAUAUAAAGGAAUAGAAAAUAUUGUAAAAUGCAUAUUUUCUUCCAAAAUAUGAUAGUACUAUUUUAAAAAUUUAAAAUAGAUAAUAUAGGUAAUAGCUUCCAAGAAAAUUCUCUAAAUUUAAUAAUAAACAACUCGUACCAAAUCCGACACAGGUAGUUAAGGAGAGAAUCCUAAGGUGCUCGAGUGAUCCACAGCUAAGGAACUAGGCAAAAUUAACUUGUAACUUCGGGAUAAAAGUUGCCAAAAUAUAAAUGGUUAUAUUUUGGUCUCAGUAAAAAGAUUCAGACGACUGUUUAUCAAAAACACAGGACUCUGCUAAAAUCGAAAGAUGAUGUAUAGGGUCUGACACCUGCCCGGUGCUGGAAGGUUAAAUGAGAUUGUUAAUAUAAAAAGAAUAUUUAUAUUUUUUUUAUAUGAAGCUUUUGAUUGAAGCCCCAGUAAACGGCGGCCGUAACUAUAACGGUCCUAAGGUAGCGAAAUUCCUUGUCGGGUAAGUUCCGACCUGCACGAAUGGUGUAACGAUCUGAAUACUGUCUCAGCUGUGAGCUCGGUGAAAUUGUAAUAUCGGUGAAGAUACCGAUUACUCGCAAUGGGACGAAAAGACCCUGUGAACCUUUACUAUAACUUCGUAUUGAAUUUUAUUAAAUGAUGUGUAGAAUAAGUGGGAGACUAUGAAGCAUUAUCGUUAGGUAAUGUGGAGUCGUCAGUGAAAUACCACUCUUUAUUUAUUAAAAUUCUAACUAAUAUAUAAAAAUAUUAGGACAAUGCGUGGUGGGUAGUUUGACUGGGGUGGUCGCCUCCUAAAAAGUAACGGAGGCUUCCAAAGGUGCUUUCAACACGGAUGGUAAUCGUGUGUAGAGUAUAAUGGCAUAAAAGCGCUUAACUGUAAGAUAGACAUAUCGAACAGAUACGAAAGUAGGGCAUAGUGAUCCGGUGGUUCUGUAUGGAAAGGCCAUCGCUCAAAGAAUAAAAGGUACUCCGGGGAUAACAGGCUAGUCUCCCCCAAGAGCUCAUAUCGACGGGGAGGUUCGGCACCUCGAUGUCGGCUCGUCACAUCCUGGGGCUGUAGAAGGUCCCAAGGGUUGGGCUGUUCGCCCAUUAAAGUGGCACGCGAGCUGGGUUCAGAACGUCGUGAGACAGUUCGGUCUCUAUCUAUUGCGAGCGUUAGAAACUUGAAUGGAGCUAAUUCUAGUACGAGAGGACCGAAUUGGGCAAGCCAAUGGUGCAUCAGUUGUAUUACCAAAUGCAUAGCUGAAUAGCUAAGCUUGUUAAAGAUAAGCACUGAAAGCAUAUAAAGUGCGAAACUAACCAUAAGAUUAAGUUUCUUCAAAGGAUAGUUGUAGAUUACAACUUAGAUAGGCUAUAAGUGUAAGAAUAGUAAUAUUUUUAGCUAAUUAGUACUAAUUAUCCGUAUUAAUAUUAAA
RNAcentral lists this ribosomal RNA (2973 nucleotides) under Candidatus Shikimatogenerans bostrichidophilus. RNAcentral's name for it is "23S ribosomal RNA". It matches the Rfam family "Bacterial large subunit ribosomal RNA". Lineage: Bacteria; Pseudomonadati; Bacteroidota; Flavobacteriia; Flavobacteriales. The record is from RNAcentral.